This 492-nucleotide ribosomal RNA is filed under the name uncultured bacterium. Its description in RNAcentral is "partial 16S ribosomal RNA". It matches the Rfam family "Bacterial small subunit ribosomal RNA", at positions 29 to 507 of the family's 1533-position model. The record is from RNAcentral.
AGUGAACGCUGGCGGCAUGCCUAACACAUGCAAGUCGAACGGCAACACAGUAAGCUUUCGCUCUUACGGUUGGCGAGUGGCGGAUGGGUAAGGCAUACAUCGCAUUCUACUAUUUCGUGGAUGAUUACGUAAGACCACUUACGAUAAUACCGCAUACGUCCUACGGCUUAAAUCAGUGGAUCUUCGGACCUUUCGCGACUCAAUUAGCCGAGGUCGGAUUAGCUAGUUGGUGAGGUAAAGGCCCACCAAGGCGACGAUGCGUAGCUGGUCUGAGAGGAUGAUCAGCCACACUGGAACUGAGACACGGUCCAGACUCCUACGGGAGGCAGCAGUGGGGAAUAUUGGACAAUGGGCGCAAGCCUGAUCCAGCAAUGCCGCGUGAGUGAAGAAGGCCUUCGGGUUGUAAAGCCCUUUUGUUAGGGAAGAAAAGCUGCAGGUUAAUACCUGGAUGUCCUGACGGUACCUAAAGAAUAAGCACCGGCUAACUACGUG